RNAcentral lists this ribosomal RNA (417 nucleotides) under uncultured eukaryote. RNAcentral's name for it is "SSU rRNA". It matches the Rfam family "Eukaryotic small subunit ribosomal RNA", at positions 592 to 1017 of the family's 1831-position model. The record is from RNAcentral.
CAAUAGCGUAUAUUAAAGUUGUUGCAGUUAAAAGCUCGUAGUUGGAUUUCGGAGUGGGCCAGUUGGUCCGCCGCAAGGUGUGUUACUGACUGGUUUGCUCUUCUUCGCAAAGACUGCGUGUGCCCUUAAAUGAGUGUGCGUAGGAUUUACGACGUUUACUUUGAAAAAUUAGGAUGUUCAAAGCAGGCUAUUGCUUGAAUACAUGAGCAUGGAAUAAUGGAAUAGGACUUUGGUCCCAUUUUGUUGGUUUCUAGGGCCGAAGUAAUGAUUAAUAGGGACAGUUGGGGGCAUUCGUAUUUCAUUGUCAGAGGUGAAAUUCUUGGAUUUAUGAAAGACGAACUUCUGCGAAAGCAUUUGCCAAGGAUGUUUUCAUUAAUCAAGAACGAAAGUUGGAGGCUCGAAGAUGAUCAGAUACCG